CUGUUCGAGCGUCAUUAUAACCCCUCAAGCUCAGCUUGGUGUUGGGGCCUGCCAUCUGGCAGCCCUUAAAAUCAGUGGCGGUGCAUCUGGCUCUAAGCGUAGUAAUUUUUUCUCGCUACAGAGUUCUGAUGGAUGCUUGCCAUUAACCCCCAAUUUUUAUGGUUGACCUCGGAUCAGGUAGGGAUACCCGCUGAACUUAA
Molecule: unclassified non-coding RNA, 200 nt
Filed under: soil metagenome
Description: partial contains internal transcribed spacer 2 and large subunit ribosomal RNA
Source: RNAcentral